GGUGAACGCUGGCGGCGUGCCUAACACAUGCAAGUCGAGCGAAGCACUCUACUCGAUUUCUUCGGGAUGAAGGUUUAGUGACUGAGCGGGCGACGGGUGAGGUAACGCGUGGAUAACCUGCCUCAUACAGGGGGAUAACAGUUAGAAAUGACUGCUAAUACCGCAUAAGCGCACAGUACCGCAUGGUACGGUGUGAAAAACUCCGGUGGUAUGAGAUGGACCCGCGUCUGAUUAGCUAGUUGGUGAGGUAACGGCUCACCAAGGCGACGAUCAGUAGCCGACCUGAGAGGGUGACCGGCCACGUUGGGACUGAGACACGGCCCAA
Molecule: ribosomal RNA, 325 nt
Filed under: uncultured bacterium
Lineage: Bacteria
Description: bacterial SSU rRNA
Rfam family: Bacterial small subunit ribosomal RNA
Source: RNAcentral